UAUUUCAGUGCCUGCGAACUGUCGACGAAACCACACGCCAACGGAGUGCAUUUUGUUUAUAUUUAGUGCCAUUUGUGUAAAACUGUGAUAUGGAAGGGGACGCGAAUAAUGAUGCAGUACGUGACGAGGUCGUCGGAGAAGUCAUCCAUAAUGAUAUCAGAAUAGGUGUGGCAGGGUCGGUUGAGCGAGUGGUUGGCUCGGCAACCGGUACAGCGGUGGGGGCGGCCGUGGGGGCUCUGACCGGCGGCCCGGCGGGCGCCCUCGUCGGCGGCGUUGUCGGAUACGUUGUCUGCCGUCAAGCCGUCAGGAACGAUCACCAGGACUGACGUAGGAUGCGCAGACGCUGUAUGCUAACAUAUUGUGGACACAUUACAUACGGAAUGCUAGACAGAAAGAUAUAAAUCUAUAUAUAUGUAUAGAGAUAACGAACGAUAAGUGUGAGCAUCUGUCGCUUAGAACUACUUAGGUAUAAAUUAAGUGUUUGUAUUACAAUAGUGAAAUAAAUGUAUUGUGUUACACAAUUAAAUGUAUAUAACUCAAUCGA
Long non-coding RNA from Cydia fagiglandana, 544 nucleotides. RefSeq lists it as uncharacterized. The transcript is spliced from 4 exons. The record is from RefSeq and is a predicted model, not a curated record. Lineage: Eukaryota; Metazoa; Arthropoda; Insecta; Lepidoptera; Tortricidae.